AGUGAACGCUGGCGGUAGGCCUAACACAUGCCAGUCGAACGGCAGCACAGUAAGAGCUUGCUCUUACGGGUGGCGAGUGGCGGACGGGUGAGGAAUACAUCGGAAUCUACUUUUUCGUGGGGGAUAACGUAGGGAAACUUACGCUAAUACCGCAUACGACCUACGGGUGAAAGCAGGGGAUCUUCGGACCUUGCGCGAUUGAAUGAGCCGAUGUCGGAUUAGCUAGUUGGCGGGGUAAAGGCCCACCAAGGCGACGAUCCGUAGCUGGUCUGAGAGGAUGAUCAGCAACACUGGAACUGAGACACGGUCCAGACUCCUACGGGAGGCAGCAGUGGGGAAUAUUGGACAAUGGGCGCAAGCCUGAUCCAGCCAUACCGCGUGGGUGAAGAAGGCCUUCGGGUUGUAAAGCCCUUUUGUUGGGAAAGAAAAGCAGCAGGUUAAUACCCCGCUGUUCUGACGGUACCCAAAGAAUAAGCACCGGCUAACUUCGUG
This 492-nucleotide ribosomal RNA is filed under the name uncultured bacterium. RNAcentral's name for it is "partial 16S ribosomal RNA". It matches the Rfam family "Bacterial small subunit ribosomal RNA", at positions 29 to 507 of the family's 1533-position model. The record is from RNAcentral.